AAAAACAUUUUCGACUUCAUAUUUUGGACUUCCUACAUUUUAUUUACAAAUUAGAUACUUAAAAAUAUAAAUAACAUUCAUUCAGUUUCUGUAUCCAAACAUUUAUAGGCUAGUCUCCCAUUUAAUUCAUUUGUAUUUCAUCACAUUCUGACAGGAUGAGAUAAAUCUAAACACACAAGGUAAGACAAUGCUGUGUCUCAACUGACAUGUUAACGCCAUAAAAAUAACCUCCACUGGCAGGUUGAGACAAAGACUCCACUGACAGGAAAAAAUAUUGCUUCACCUCCAUUAGAGAACAGUACCCCAACUGACAGGUCAACAUUGUGCUUUUAUUGAGAGGUUGAGACAUUGUGUUUCUGUUGACAGGUUGACGGCAGGCUAAGACAAUGCUAUCUCAACUGAUAGGUUGCGGCAAUGAUGUGCCUCCACUAACAGGUUGAGACAUUGCUAUCUCCACGGCAGGCUGAGACAAUGCUAUCUGCCUAUCUCAACUGAUAGGUUGCGACAAUGAUGUGCAUCCACUUACAGGUUGAGACAUUGCUAUCUCCACGGCAGGCUGAGACAAUGCUAUCUCCACGGCAGGCUGAGACAAUGCUAUCUGCCUAUCUCAACUGAUAGGUUGCAGCAAUGAUGGGCCUCCACUAACAGGUUGAGACAUUGCUAUCUCCACGGCAGGCUGUGACAAUGUUAUCUGCCUAUCUCAACUGAUAGGUUGAGACAAUGAUGUGCCUCCACUAACAGGUUGAGACAUUGCUAUCUCCACGGCAGGCUGAGGCAAUGCUAUCUGCCUAUCUCAACUGAUAGGUUGCGACAGUGAUGUGCAUCCACUUACAGGUUGAGACAUUGCUAUCUCCACGGCAGGAUGAGACAAUGCUCUCUCCACGGCAGGCUGAGACAAUGCUAUCUGCCUAUCUCAACUGAUGGGUUGAGACAAUGAUGUGCCUCCACUAACAGGUUAUGACAUUGCUAUCUCCACGGCAGGCUGAGGCAAUGUUAUCUGCCUAUCUCAACUGAUAGGUUGCGACAAUGAUGUGCCUCCACUAACAGGUUGAGACAUUAGAGACACUGAAGAGUCUCUCCAUCAACAAACACUGCUGUGUCUCCAAUGGUAGGUAGAGACACUGACAAACACUGCUGUGUCUUUAGAGGUAGGUAGAGACACUGGUGUCUCUCCAUCAACAAACACUGCUGUGUCUCAAGUGGUAGGUAGAGACACUGACAAACAUUGCUGUGUCUCCAGUGGUAGGUAGAGACACUGACAAACACUGCUGUGUCUCUAGAGGUAGGUAGAGACACUGGUGUAUCUCCAUCAACAAACACUGCUGUGUCCCCAGUGGUAGGGAGAGACACUGAAAAACACUGCUGUGUCUCUAGAGGUAGGGAGAGACACUGGGGGCUCUCCCUCAACAAACACUGCUGUGUCCCCAGCGGUAGGUAGAGACAUUGAAGAGUCUCUCCAUCAACAAACGCUGCUGUGUCUCCAGUGGUAGGUAGAGACACUGAGAAACACUGCUGUGUCUUUAGAGGUAGGUAGAGACACUGGUGUCUCUACAUCAACAAACACUGCUGUGUCUCAAGUGGUAGGGAGAGACACUGACAAACAUUGCUGUGUCUCCAGUGGUAGGUAGAGACACUGACAAACACUGCUGUGUCGCUAGAGGUAGGUAGAGACACUGGUGUCUCUACAUCA
This is a long non-coding RNA of Mizuhopecten yessoensis (Yesso scallop), 1690 nucleotides long. RefSeq lists it as uncharacterized. The record is from RefSeq and is a predicted model, not a curated record. NCBI's taxonomy places the organism in Eukaryota, Metazoa, Mollusca, Bivalvia, Pectinida, Pectinidae. The transcript has 4 exons.